GAUAAAACGUAAAAUAAAACUGAUUUGUAAUCAGUGGGUUGCAGGUUCAACUCCUGUCACCAGCUCCA
Molecule: transfer RNA, 68 nt
Filed under: Myoviridae sp. ctqYq4
Lineage: Duplodnaviria; Heunggongvirae; Uroviricota; Caudoviricetes
Also listed under: 1 other name
Description: tRNA-Thr
Rfam family: tRNA
About the family: Transfer RNA (tRNA) molecules are approximately 80 nucleotides in length. Their secondary structure includes four short double-helical elements and three loops (D, anti-codon, and T loops).
Source: RNAcentral